Molecule: long non-coding RNA, 1115 nt
Organism: Pan troglodytes (chimpanzee)
Lineage: Eukaryota; Metazoa; Chordata; Mammalia; Primates; Hominidae
Exons: 5
Source: RefSeq, a predicted model, not a curated record
GAUUCCAACGUCACUAACGGUUUUCUGAGGGAGUUGGAAAGAGAUAAGAGAGAGACCUUGGGGAACAAUUUUAAAGUGGCUCAAUAGCGAUCGCAGAGCCAAACUCAUACCUACAUCAAUGUGGUGCAGAGAAUCUCUAAGAAUUUUUAAUGCUGAAUUGGAGCAAAGAAACUUCAAGGAGGAAGCAAAGUGAAGAACACAGAUUUCACAGAUGGGAUGCCUGGCUCAAAUUCCAGCUUGACCGCUGGUAGCUGUGUGACCCUCGGCAAGUUACUUGACCUCUCUCUACUCAGUGUCCUCAUCUGUCAGAUUUUGAUAUCUGACUGAUGCUGUCUUCGUGGAAUGAGUUAGGAAAGAGUCCCUCCACGUCAACUGUUUGGAAUAUAUUCAGCAGGAUUGGUAUCAUUGCAUGUCUGGCAGAAUUUGACUAGGAAUCCAUCUGGUCCAGGACUUUUUUGUUGGUGUAAUGAGAUUCAUUGAAGAAUUCUAAGAGUGGAAUGAGCAACAGAUUUUCAUUAGCGAAAGCUCCUCUAGCUGCUGCAUAAAAUGAUGGCUAGACAGAGAAAUGCGUAAAUGGCGACAGUAGAGCCAGCCUUCAUGAAUCCAGAAAUGUGAGCCACAUUUUGAGGAUAGCAGAGUCACUGCAGAAGCCUGGAUCCUUGCAUAACCUUGUCGAGUGGGAAAAUCUACCCAUACUUGACCAACCACCUAACUGGGGGCUCUACAUCUGAAAGAAAUGAUUUUUUAUCUUAUUUAAGCCACUGUAGUUAGGAGUCAGUUUAUUACAGGACAUUGCCUGGUGUUCCAACAAAUAAACUACCUUAUUUGUUUCAAUAAAUAAAGUGGCUUUUAUUUACUAUUUUGGGGAUGGCUAAAAAAUUAUCAAACUAGGUAGAACUAAACUAAAGUUUCAGAUGAAAGAAGAUCUUCAUAAGCAACAGCACCAUCUUGUCACAGCAGCCAAAUGGUGGCAUGUCAUUUCUUCCAGGAAAGUAUAUAUACUCUGAAUGUAUCAUGUUUCAGCAUUGCUCUGUUAUAGGCUUGUAUAUCUAAUUUUGUCAUCACACAAAAUCUAUUGGGCUGGAUUAAAAUUAACCAAGAUCAUAAGACAAAUG